Molecule: long non-coding RNA, 693 nt
Organism: Eupeodes corollae
Lineage: Eukaryota; Metazoa; Arthropoda; Insecta; Diptera; Syrphidae
Exons: 4
Source: RefSeq, a predicted model, not a curated record
CGAACAAAGCGAAAUAUUUGAAAAAGGGCCCUAAUAAAAAAACUUAAGAUACAGACUGUUUGUUUUUUCUACACAUUAUGAGAAGCUUUUUGCCUACUAAAAUGAAGCUUAAAACUAACUAAAAUUGUUAGCAGAUCGAUAAAGACUUUCAAACGUUCUAUGCAACCAGCACAUCAAUACCUUCCUUGUGGCAAAAUCAUUGGAAUACAUCAAAAACUUCAUGAAGGAAAACAUAAAGGACUAAAAGGUUACAGAAACAUUGAACGACUUGGGAGAUACUAAUUUUGGAGAAGGUGAUUUCGUGCUAAAGAUAAUUAAAAGUAUUCACUUCUAAAUAUUUUCAAUAGCAGCAGUUCCAAGAAAAUGUGAAACCGGAGCCAAGUCAAGAAGCAAAUUCACCAUCAAUGAGUGACUGAUGGCAUUCAUCUUUAAAGCAGAGACGAUGCAAAGUAUUAGAGGACAACAUAGUACUCCGGAAAUCCAGAGGUGAAACUAUUCAACCUCUAAUACUUACAGUAAGGGAACAAAUUAAUACUUAAUUUUGUUAUGUGGCCACAAAAUCAAGACAACCAAUGUCUUAAAAGCUGUGGACUUUUUUUGUUCAACUUAAACUUCAUUGAAAGAUGAAUCCAAUACUGUCAACAAUGCAACCUACAGUUACGUUAAGUAUAAAAUUUAAUUUAAUUAUAAACA